AUUGAACGCUGGCGGCAUGCCUUACACAUGCAAGUCGAACGGCAGCACGGGAGCAAUCCUGGUGGCGAGUGGCGAACGGGUGAGUAAUAUAUCGGAACGUGCCCGGUCGUGGGGGAUAACGUAGCGAAAGCUACGCUAAUACCGCAUACGAUCUACGGAUGAAAGCGGGGGAUCGCAAGACCUCGCGCGAUUGGAGCGGCCGAUAUCAGAUUAGGUAGUUGGUGAGGUAAAGGCUCACCAAGCCGACGAUCUGUAGCUGGUCUGAGAGGACGACCAGCCACACUGGGACUGAGACACGGCCCAGACUCCUACGGGAGGCAGCAGUGGGGAAUUUUGGACAAUGGGCGCGAAGCCUGAUCCAGCAAUGCCGCGUGCAGGAUGAAGGCCUUC
RNAcentral lists this ribosomal RNA (390 nucleotides) under uncultured bacterium. RNAcentral describes it as "bacterial SSU rRNA". It matches the Rfam family "Bacterial small subunit ribosomal RNA", at positions 30 to 419 of the family's 1533-position model. The record is from RNAcentral.